This is a long non-coding RNA of Erinaceus europaeus (western European hedgehog), 379 nucleotides long. RefSeq lists it as uncharacterized. The transcript has 2 exons. The record is from RefSeq and is a predicted model, not a curated record. Lineage: Eukaryota; Metazoa; Chordata; Mammalia; Eulipotyphla; Erinaceidae.
AUUGUAUACUUAUUGAAAAGAUAGCGCCUUUGGAGUGGAGAAUUCUGGAUCUGGCCUGGCAUACUUAUGCUCUAUUGUUUAAAUGUACCUGUUCCCCGUCAACUGCUAGUAGCAACUUAAGGGUCGAUUGGAUUUGUUUUUGCUUCCCCGAACUAAUAUGGCACAGAUAGUUGCACUACUUCCAGAGAUGUUAAGAUUGGUUAGGGGUUUCAGAGGAUGUUAACCAAACCACCAUAAUUCAUUUCCCCGGGAGCCUUUCACAUAAUGUAGUUAUCUGUCAGGGAUUUCGUUUGUUUGUUUUUGUGGAAGCAGGUCCUCAUGCACAUACAAUCUCACUAUUCUGGGCAACUUGGCUUCUUACAGGCUGCUGUGCUUUCAC